RNAcentral lists this long non-coding RNA (237 nucleotides) under Vicia faba (fava bean). The record is from RNAcentral. Lineage: Eukaryota; Viridiplantae; Streptophyta; Magnoliopsida; Fabales; Fabaceae.
AUGUCCGAUAAAGUUCCCCCUUCCUUCGAUCGCGCGAAUGCUGGAUCUCAAGGGUUCAACCCAGGCUUAAUUGUUCUACUUGUUGUUGGUGGGUUGCUAUUGACAUUCCUCAUUGGAAACUUUGUGCUCUACUCUUAUGCACAGAAGACUAUUCCUCCUAGGAAAAAGAAGCCGAUCUCAAAAAAGAAGAUGAAAAAGGAGAGAUUGAAGCAAGGUGUGUCUGCACCUGGAGAGUAG